This 539-nucleotide ribosomal RNA is filed under the name Rhizophagus clarus. RNAcentral describes it as "SSU rRNA". It matches the Rfam family "Eukaryotic small subunit ribosomal RNA", at positions 548 to 1098 of the family's 1831-position model. Lineage: Eukaryota; Fungi; Glomeromycota; Glomeromycetes; Glomerales; Glomeraceae. The record is from RNAcentral.
UUGGAGGGCAAGUCUGGUGCCAGCAGCCGCGGUAAUUCCAGCUUCAAUAGCGUAUAUUAAAGUUGUUGCAGUUAAAAAGCUCGUAGUUGAAUUUCGGGAUUAGUAGUCUGGUCGUGCCACUGGUAUGUACUGGUCUUACUGAUUUCUCCUUCCUGAAGAACUGUAAUGUCAUUAAUUUGGUGUUGCGGGGAAUCUGGACUGUUACUUUGAAAAUUAGAGUGUUUAAAGCAGGCUAACGCUUGAAUACAUUAGCAUGGAAUAAUGAAAUAGGACGAUCGAUCCUAUUGUUGGUUUCUAGGAUUGACGUAAUGAUUAAUAGGGAUAGUUGGGGGCAUUAGUAUUCAAUUGUUAGAGGUGAAAUUCUUGGAUUUAUUGAAGACUAACUACUGCGAAAGCUUGCCAAGGAUGUUUCAUUAAUCAAGACGAAAGUUAGGGGAUCGAAGACGAUCAGAUACCGUCGUAGUCUUAACCAUAACUAUGCCGACUAGGGAUCGGAUGAUGUUAAUUUAUAAUGACUCAUUCGGCGCCUUACGGGAAAC